GUCUCAGUAGCUCAGCUGGAUAGAGCAACAGCCUCCUAAGCUGUAGGUCGUGAGUUCGAAUCUCGCCUGGGACG
This 74-nucleotide transfer RNA is filed under the name Bacillus sp. ISL-47. Its description in RNAcentral is "tRNA-Arg". It matches the Rfam family "tRNA". From Rfam's summary of the family: Transfer RNA (tRNA) molecules are approximately 80 nucleotides in length. Lineage: Bacteria; Bacillati; Bacillota; Bacilli; Caryophanales; Bacillaceae. RNAcentral also lists the same sequence under 2 other names. The record is from RNAcentral.